CUCUUUGCGUUAAAACGAAAUAAUUAUAGUAUUAUCGCCAUGCGUGUUAUCUUGUGGAUUGCAUUGGUCUUGACCACUGUUGUGACCGUCUCUGGACAAAGGAAUUGGUGACCUUGGCCACGAGUAGGAGGCAUGCAAAAUCCAAGAUGCGUUAGUUGCACAGAGGUUAAAGAGGCUCAUUUGUGUGAAAACUGCUGCAAAGUGUCCGUGUGUGAUCCGGAUCCUUGUAAUAGUGAUGGUAUGUGUUCACCAGCCGAUAACGGUUACAUCUGUAGUUGUACCCCUGGGUAUUUAGGAGAAAACUGUGACGUGAACGUGUGUCUACCUAACCCAUGUAAAAAUGAUGGUACUUGUUCACCAGUUGAUAACGGUUACAGCUGUAAUUGUACUACAGGAUAUUUAGGAAAAAACUGACGUUAUAACAUCACCGAAUUACCCCCAAUUUUAUUCAACUAGAUUUAAGCAGUGCUAUCAUAUAAUUGACCGACCCGGACAGAAUAUCACCUUAACUCUUGACGCACAGUAUGGUCUUGAAAAGUAAUUCUUUUGCAAUGGUUAACUGUUUACUGGCGGAAAUUGUUCUGAUUAUCUAAAGCUUCAGGGAGUAAGAUGUUUAAAGCCAAGACAUUAAGAGAUGUAUACAGUCAAGAUAUCAACAGUAAGACAGUCGUGUUGUAUUCUUCAUAAACAAAUAUAGCCAUCAACACAUGAAUUGUUAACUCUAUGUUAUGACUAUAUCCAAAUUAAUCUAAAUUCACUUAAAUAACAAAACUAAACACAUUCUUUGAACUGACCAAUAACCUAAAUAAACAGUUCUUACUGUUA
Long non-coding RNA from Patella vulgata (common limpet), 825 nucleotides. RefSeq lists it as uncharacterized. The record is from RefSeq and is a predicted model, not a curated record. The transcript is spliced from 5 exons. NCBI's taxonomy places the organism in Eukaryota, Metazoa, Mollusca, Gastropoda, Patellidae.